UACGUAGGGGGCAAGCGUUGUCCGGAUUUAUUGGGCGUAAAGAGCGUGUAGGCGGCCUUACAGGUCAGCUGUGAAAACUCGAGGCUCAACCUCGAGACGUCGGUUGAAACCGUAUGGCUAGAGUCCGGAAGAGGAGAGUGGAAUUCCCGGUGUAGCGGUGAAAUGCGCAGAUAUCAGGAAGAACACCCGUGGCGAAGGCGGCUUUCUGGGACGGUACUGACGCUGAGGAGCGAAAGCGUGGGGAGCGAACAGG
This 253-nucleotide ribosomal RNA is filed under the name uncultured bacterium. Its description in RNAcentral is "partial 16S ribosomal RNA". It matches the Rfam family "Bacterial small subunit ribosomal RNA", at positions 524 to 776 of the family's 1533-position model. The record is from RNAcentral.